GAAGUUAUAGUCAAUAAUGAUAUUUGAUUUGCAAUUGAAAGGUGCUUUUUAAGCUGACUUUA
Molecule: transfer RNA, 62 nt
Filed under: Thor amboinensis
Lineage: Eukaryota; Metazoa; Arthropoda; Malacostraca; Decapoda; Hippolytidae
Description: tRNA-Ala
Source: RNAcentral